This 363-nucleotide long non-coding RNA is filed under the name Mytilus galloprovincialis (Mediterranean mussel). Lineage: Eukaryota; Metazoa; Mollusca; Bivalvia; Mytilida; Mytilidae. The record is from RNAcentral.
CCCACUCUUUUCCAUAGUAUUUUUUUUUCAUUUUUGGAAGAUUUUUUUCCUUUAGAUUUUUUUCUUUUUCUCUGUUCACUGCCAUGUUAUACAUAUAAGGCACAAAAUGUGCACCUGAAUAUAGGUAUCUUGUUUUGUAACCCCCAUUGACAUAAUGGUUACAUUGGUUACAUUGGUUACACUCAUACAAACUAUCAUAAAUCAUUCAUAAUUUCCCCAGUCUAUUUGUAACUUUCCUUCACCUAAUGGUUACAUUGGUUACACCCAUGCAAUCCCCGUUACCAUGACAACCCUUUGCAUGGAGAAACAGGGGUCAAUCUGAUUAUAAUGGUUACAUACAUGGGAAAUCAGGUUACAAUGGUU